UACGUAGGGUGCAAGCGUUGUCCGGAUUUAUUGGGCGUAAAGGGUGCGUAGGCGGCGCGGUAAGUCGGGUGUGAAAUCUCGGGGCUUAACUCCGAAACUGCAUUCGAUACUGCCGUGCUUGAGGACUGGAGAGGAGACUGGAAUUUACGGUGUAGCGGUGAAAUGCGUAGAUAUCGUAAGGAAGACCAGUGGCGAAGGCGGGUCUCUGGACAGUUCCUGACGCUGAGGCACGAAGGUCAGGGGAGCAAACGGG
This 253-nucleotide ribosomal RNA is filed under the name uncultured bacterium. Its description in RNAcentral is "partial 16S ribosomal RNA". It matches the Rfam family "Bacterial small subunit ribosomal RNA", at positions 524 to 776 of the family's 1533-position model. The record is from RNAcentral.